This 253-nucleotide ribosomal RNA is filed under the name uncultured bacterium. Its description in RNAcentral is "partial 16S ribosomal RNA". It matches the Rfam family "Bacterial small subunit ribosomal RNA", at positions 524 to 776 of the family's 1533-position model. The record is from RNAcentral.
UACGUAGGGUGCGAGCGUUAAUCGGAAUUACUGGGCGUAAAGUGUGCGCAGGCGGCCGCGCAAGUCGAGUGUGAAAGCCCCGAGCUUAACUUGGGAACUGCGCUCGAAACUACGUGGCUGGAGUGUGGCAGAGGGAGGUGGAAUUCCACGUGUAGCGGUGAAAUGCGUAGAGAUGUGGAGGAACACCAAUGGCGAAGGCAGCCUUCUGGGCCAACACUGACGCUCAUGCACGAAAGCGUGGGGAGCAAACAGG